AUUGAACGCUGGCGGCAGGCCUAACACAUGCAAGUCGAGCGGUUGAGGUAGCUUGCUACCGAUGCAGCGGCGAACGGGUGAGUAAUACAUGGGAAUCUGCCUGGUAGUGGGGGACAACGUCUCGAAAGGGACGCUAAUACCGCAUACGCCCUACGGGGGAAAGGGGGGGAUCUUCGGACCUCUCGCUAUCAGAUGAGCCCAUGUCAGAUUAGCUAGUUGGUGGGGUAAAGGCUCACCAAGGCGACGAUCUGUAACUGGCCUGAGAGGAUGAUCAGUCACACUGGAACUGAGACACGGUCCAGACUCGUACGGGAGGCAGCAGUGGGGAAUAUUGGACAAUGGGCGCAAGCCUGAUCAGCCAUGCCGCGUGUGUGAAGAAGGCCUUAGGGUUGUAAAGCACUUUCAGUGGGGAGAAAGGUAAUUCACCUAAUACGUGAGUUAAUUGAUGUUACCCACAGAAGAAGCACCGGCUAACUCCGUGCCAGCCGCCGCAGUAA
Molecule: ribosomal RNA, 497 nt
Filed under: uncultured bacterium
Lineage: Bacteria
Description: partial 16S ribosomal RNA
Rfam family: Bacterial small subunit ribosomal RNA
Source: RNAcentral